AACGAACGCUGGCGGCGCGCCUAAUACAUGCAAGUCGAGCGAGAAGACGUAGCAAUACGUUUGUAAAGCGGCGAACGGGUGAGGAAUACAUGGGUAACCUACCCUCGAGUGGGGAAUAACUAGCCGAAAGGUUAGCUAAUACCGCGUACGCUCCUUGGACUUCGGUUCAGGGAGGAAAGCGAUACCGUGGGUAUCGCGCUCUUGGAUGGGCUCAUGUCCUAUCAGCUUGUUGGUGAGGAACGGCUCACCAAGGCUUCGACGGGUAGCUGGUCUGAGAGGACAAUCAGCCACACUGGCACUGCGACACGGGCCAGACUCCUACGGGAGGCAGCAGUAAGGAAUAUUGCGCAAUGGGCGAAAGCCUGACGCAGCGACGCCGCGUGGGGGAUGAAGGUCUUCGGAUUGUAAACCCCUUUCGGGAGGGAAGAUGGAACGAGCGAUCGUUCGGACGGUACCUCCAGAAGCAGCCACGGCUAACUUCGUGCC
RNAcentral lists this ribosomal RNA (486 nucleotides) under uncultured bacterium. Its description in RNAcentral is "bacterial SSU rRNA". It matches the Rfam family "Bacterial small subunit ribosomal RNA", at positions 29 to 509 of the family's 1533-position model. The record is from RNAcentral.